UAUAGAGACAUUGUGAAGUUUCGCUAAAACCGAUAUCGAUAGUUUUCAAAAACUAUCCAUAGUGGCGACAGUUUUCAACUAUCGAUAGUAUCCCAGCUCU
Long non-coding RNA from Rhagoletis zephyria (snowberry fruit fly), 100 nucleotides. RefSeq lists it as uncharacterized. NCBI's taxonomy places the organism in Eukaryota, Metazoa, Arthropoda, Insecta, Diptera, Tephritidae. The record is from RefSeq and is a predicted model, not a curated record.